This 450-nucleotide ribosomal RNA is filed under the name uncultured bacterium. Its description in RNAcentral is "bacterial SSU rRNA". It matches the Rfam family "Bacterial small subunit ribosomal RNA", at positions 354 to 796 of the family's 1533-position model. The record is from RNAcentral.
GUGGGGAACAUUGGACAAUGGGCGAAAGCCUGAUCCAGCCAUGCCGCGUGUGUGAAGAAGGUCUUCGGAUUGUAAAGCACUUUAAGUUGGGAGGAAGGGCAGUAAGUUAAUACCUUGCUGUUUUGACGUUACCGACAGAAUAAGCACCGGCUAACUUCGUGCCAGCAGCCGCGGUAAUACGAAGGGUGCAAGCGUUAAUCGGAAUUACUGGGCGUAAAGCGCGCGUAGGUGGUUUUGUAAGUUGGAGGUGAAAUCCCCGGGCUCAACCAGGGAACUGCCUCCAAAACUGCAUGACUAGAGUACGGUAGAGGGUAGUGGAAUUUCCUGUGUAGCGGUGAAAUGCGUAGAUAUAGGAAGGAACACCAGUGGCGAAGGCGACUACCUGGACUGAUACUGACACUGAGGUGCGAAAGCGUGGGGAGCAAACAGGAUUAGAAACCCGGGUAGUCC